RNAcentral lists this transfer RNA (72 nucleotides) under Phocaeicola vulgatus. RNAcentral describes it as "tRNA-Gln". It matches the Rfam family "tRNA". Rfam says of the family: Transfer RNA (tRNA) molecules are approximately 80 nucleotides in length. Their secondary structure includes four short double-helical elements and three loops (D, anti-codon, and T loops). The record is from RNAcentral. RNAcentral also lists the same sequence under 1 other name. Lineage: Bacteria; Pseudomonadati; Bacteroidota; Bacteroidia; Bacteroidales; Bacteroidaceae.
UGGGGAUUAGUCAAACGGUAAGACAGCAGAAUUUGACUCUGUAAUGUGCCGGUUCGAAUCCGGCAUCCCUAG